GAUGAAGAACGUAGCGAAAUGCGAUAAGUAAUGUGAAUUGCAGAAUUCCGUGAAUCAUCGAAUCUUUGAACGCACAUUGCGCCCCUUGGUAUCCCGAGGGGCAUGCCUGUUCGAGCGUCAUUUCACCACUCAAGCCUGGCUUGGUGUUGGGCGACGUCCCCUUUAGGGACGCGCCUCGAAACGCUCGGCGGCGUGGCACCGGCUUUAAGCGUAGCAGAAUCUUUCGCUUUGGAAGUCGGGGCCCCGCCUGCCGGAAUACCUACUCGUAAGGUUGACCUCGGAUCAGGCAGGGAUACCCGCUGAACUUAAGCAUAUCAAUAAGCGGAGGA
RNAcentral lists this unclassified non-coding RNA (329 nucleotides) under soil metagenome. RNAcentral's name for it is "partial contains 5.8S ribosomal RNA, internal transcribed spacer 2, and large subunit ribosomal RNA". The stretch from base 1 to 120 matches the Rfam family "5.8S ribosomal RNA", at positions 35 to 154 of the family's 154-position model. The record is from RNAcentral.